GAUGAAGAACGCAGCGAAAUGCGAUAAGUAAUGUGAAUUGCAGAAUUCAGUGAAUCAUCGAAUCUUUGAACGCAUCUUGCGCUCCUUGGUAUUCUGAGGAGCAUGCCUGUUUGAGUGUCAUUAAAUUCUCAACUACACUGACUUUGAAUUGGUGUGGCUUGGAUUUGGGGGGAAAAUUGUUGUGGGCUUUUUGUAUAGUCUGCUCCCCUGAAAUUGAUUAGCGGUACCUUUGUGGAACUGUCUACAGGUGUGAUAAUUAUCUACAUCUUAGACAUCUGCUGGAAUGCUGCUUUCUAAACCUUACUUGUAUUGACAAUCUUGACCUCAAAUCAGGUAGGACUACCCGCUGAACUUCAGCAUAUCAAUAAGCGGAGGA
Molecule: unclassified non-coding RNA, 376 nt
Filed under: soil metagenome
Description: partial contains 5.8S ribosomal RNA, internal transcribed spacer 2, and large subunit ribosomal RNA
Rfam family: 5.8S ribosomal RNA (bases 1-120)
Source: RNAcentral